AUACGUAGGUGGCAAGCGUUGUCCGGAUUUACUGGGUGUAAAGGGCGAGUAGGCGGGACUGCAAGUCAGCUGUGAAAACCCGGGGCUUAACCCCGGGCCUGCAGUUGAAACUGUAGUUCUUGAGUGAUGGAGAGGCAGGCGGAAUUCCCGGUGUAGCGGUGGAAUGCGUAGAUAUCGGGAGGAACACCAGUGGCGAAGGCGGCCUGCUGGACAUUAACUGACGCUGAGGAGCGAAAGCGUGGGGAGC
This 247-nucleotide ribosomal RNA is filed under the name uncultured bacterium. Its description in RNAcentral is "partial 16S ribosomal RNA". It matches the Rfam family "Bacterial small subunit ribosomal RNA", at positions 523 to 769 of the family's 1533-position model. The record is from RNAcentral.